Molecule: ribosomal RNA, 492 nt
Filed under: uncultured bacterium
Lineage: Bacteria
Description: partial 16S ribosomal RNA
Rfam family: Bacterial small subunit ribosomal RNA
Source: RNAcentral
AGUGAACGCUGGCGGUAGGCCUAACACAUGCAAGUCGAACGGCAGCACAGUAAGAGCUUGCUCUUACGGGUGGCGAGUGGCGGACGGGUGAGGAAUACAUCGGAAUCUACUUUUUCGUGGGGGAUAACGUAGGGAAACUUACGCUAAUACCGCAUACGACCUACGGGUGAAAGCAGGGGAUCUUCGGACCUUGCGCGAUUGAAUGAGCCGAUGUCGGAUUAGCUAGUUGGCGGGGUAAAGGCCCACCAAGGCGACGAUCCGUAGCUGGUCUGAGAGGAUGAUCAGCCACACUGGAACUGAGACACGGUCCAGACUCCUACGGGAGGCAGCAGUGGGGAAUAUUGGACAAUGGGCGCAAGCCUGAUCCAGCCAUACCGCGUGCGCGAAGAAGGCCUUCGGGUUGUAAAGCCCUUUUGUUGGGAAAGAAAAGCAGCAGGUUAAUACCCCGCUGUUCUGACGGUACCCAAAGAAUAAGCACCGGCUAACUUCGUG